Molecule: long non-coding RNA, 926 nt
Organism: Oncorhynchus masou masou (cherry salmon)
Lineage: Eukaryota; Metazoa; Chordata; Actinopteri; Salmoniformes; Salmonidae
Exons: 7
Source: RefSeq, a predicted model, not a curated record
GUAACUGCCAUAGGCGUGGCUGUUGAAAUGAUGAUUGUGGCAGUUACCUGAAAACAACAAGAUUAAAGGACGCUGCUGGCGGCGUCAACUUUAAUCUACAAAAUAGGACGUGAGCAGAGGGACAGAACAGCUUAGGGACAGAAAACAAAAUGGUGGAGCACAGAAGAGAGCGACACCGUGCCAUUUCCCUCAGGGCUGGACCUAGUGAGGUGGACAACGUCACCCUGUCUGAUGUGAAUCUCAGAAUCCAUGCCUGGGCUGCCCGGACAACAGGUCAUCAGCUGGCAGAGAUGGGUGACAGACUGGACCGUGAAUGGGCAGAGAGACACCCUAAUCAGUGGCCUGUGCCACAAACUCUCCAUGUGACAAAUCCUGCCCAUGCCCUGACUAGAAGCAUCUAUAGGGGGAUACAAAGACAGCUUUGGGGAGUGAAGAGUUUGCCUGGCGUGGCCAAAGCCUGUUUGGCUUCCGCUCUCCACAGGCAGGCUACACAGAGAGCAGAGGCUUGGGUUUCCAGUAUUCAACCUGCUAACUGCCCUGGUUGGGCCAAAGCAAUGCUUGCCACUGUGGCACUGGUGGCCAUGGCAACCAUUUGCACUGCAUUGUGGAAGGAGUAGAAAGGCUAACCAUUGCACUGAGGGGGGCCUUGGCUGGACUUCUGGCUACAAUGUUCUAUGUUGGACCAUUUCCUAAUUGAGUGAUAUUUUUAAACAAUUUUUACUAUAGACUUUAGGAAAAAAGAAAUACCGUGUGUGUUAUUGAAUUGAUUGUGCUGGAUCACAGUUUUUAUAGUCUUAUCAACUGAUGCAUGUUUUAAAGACUGUUGCUGGUCUGCAGUCUUUUCUAUGAAGAUUGAGCCUGUUACUGGUUAGACAUUUAAUUGCCACAACUAUCUUAUGUAGCUUAUUACACCAUUAAAUGGACAC